GAUUUCCGGUUGACCCGCCGGACUGGAAGUCAUCGCCUGUAACCCGGCCACCGUCACGCUGUUCGGAGCCCGGAACGUCGACCAUUUCACCACGCUCGGCCCGUGGAGCGUCUCGCCUGCCGUUCAGCCUGACGGCGAACCAUCCGCCGCCAAAGCCCCCAAGAUGAUCAUGCGCGCCAUGCAGGAGGGUUCUCACUUUUUUGAAUGGAUACACAAAAAAUCGACGGGCCCGACUUUGCCGCGACCGUGUUGCUCACCCGGGUCACGUUGCGCGGCGAAGCGUGCUUGCAAGCCACUGUCCGCGAUGUCAGCGACCAGAAGCGCGCGGAAGACGCGUUACGGAAAAGCGAAGCGCGGACGAGACUGGUGAUCGAUUCCGCUCUCGAUGCCGUCAUCGCCAUCGACUCCGGCGGACGGAUCAUCGAGUGGAACCCCAGGGCUGAGGUGAUCUUCGGAUGGUCCGCAGGCGAAAUCAUCGGUCAAUCGCUGGCCGGCACCAUCAUUCCGCCUGAAUACCGCGCUGCGCACAUGAAAGGACUCGACACCUUUCUUUCGAACGGGUCAGGACCGAUCCUCAACCGGCGGAUUGAAAUCACGGCGCUCCGGCGGGACGGGGUUGAAUUCCCGAUCGAACUCGCCGUCAAUCCGUUAUGCUUCGACGAAGGGCUACCUUUACGG
RNAcentral lists this ribosomal RNA (678 nucleotides) under uncultured archaeon. RNAcentral describes it as "partial 16S ribosomal RNA". The record is from RNAcentral.